This 225-nucleotide ribosomal RNA is filed under the name uncultured bacterium. RNAcentral's name for it is "partial 16S ribosomal RNA". It matches the Rfam family "Bacterial small subunit ribosomal RNA", at positions 15 to 228 of the family's 1533-position model. The record is from RNAcentral.
GAUCAUGGCUCAGGACGAACGCUGGCGGCGUGCCUAACACAUGCAAGUCGAACGGACUGAUUUGAGAGCUUGCUCUUGAUGAAAGUUAGUGGCGGACGGGUGAGUAACGCGUGAGUAACCUGCCUUUCAGAGGGGGAGUAACAUUCUGAAAAGGAAUGCUAAUACCGCAUAACAUCUUAGUAUCGCAUGGUAUUGAGAUCAAAGGAGCAAUCCGCUGGAAGAUGG